UGAUUAAAUCAUUAUACUCGACCACGAGCUCGAGUACCGUCAUCCUGGAGUUCCUGAUGUACUCGUCCACAUCCUCUACAACACACCCGUC
RNAcentral lists this small RNA (91 nucleotides) under Arabidopsis thaliana (thale cress). Its description in RNAcentral is "ATSL096630". The record is from RNAcentral. Lineage: Eukaryota; Viridiplantae; Streptophyta; Magnoliopsida; Brassicales; Brassicaceae.